RNAcentral lists this ribosomal RNA (198 nucleotides) under uncultured bacterium. Its description in RNAcentral is "partial 16S ribosomal RNA". It matches the Rfam family "Bacterial small subunit ribosomal RNA", at positions 328 to 539 of the family's 1533-position model. The record is from RNAcentral.
ACGCUCGACACCUACGGAGGCAGCAGUGGGGAAUAUUGCACAAUGGGGGAAACCCUGAUGCAGCGACGCCGCGUGAAGGAAGAAGUAUCUCGGUAUGUAAACUUCUAUCAGCAGGGAAGAAAGUGACGGUACCUGACUAAGAAGCCCCCGGNUAAUUACGUGCUAGCAGCCGCGGUAAUCUGAGCGGGCUGGCAAGGC